ACGAUCACAAGCCCAAAGGCCGCCUUUGUUGAGCCGUUGAUAAAGAAGCCACGCCCACAAAUUGAGGCGCUACUUCUUUCGUUGACCAAAAUCUGUGACCGACACGAUUAAACUAGGCGGGAAACACAGAAGCUGGUUUCUUCAGCUCGACACGUUGAGCAGGUGGGUCGCGUUUGCAGCACCAGGUGAAAGAUUGACGUUGAUGCUCUUAUAACUCAGGUUCCUGUGAAGCGUAGAGAUGAGGCAAAUCCGUGCCGGGAUUAUCUUCCACUUUCUCACCUCGCACAGGUGUGGAGAGCUGAUAUGGCCCAAAAACCCACAUGCUCCCGAUGCACCAUGGGAAGAAGCGGGACAGCUGUGAGAGGGAAGCCACAGGUUUGCACAGACGAUCAGACCAUUUCCAUUUCAUACGAAUGGGUGAAGAAAAAAAUGAAUCGCUUUAAAAUAUUACUCUGAAAAAGUCCUGCCUGAACUCUAAAAAAUAAAAAUUUGUAAAUAAAUGUGAACAUUUUUAAAAAUCCAAUGUUCAAGGACAUCGUAAAGUAUUAGAAAUGGGAUGAUUCAAAUUAAUUGUACGCCUCUAAACGCACAUAAAACAGGAUACAGGCAUGUUUUAGACGUUUUUCACAUUCUUUAGAGAAACAAAGGCUUCAGCCCUCAAAAACUGAUGAAUGGUAAUGUAAAAAGAGAAAAGAGAGGAAGCAUUUCUAGAACAUGAAUUAAAGGAGUCACGGAUAAAAGCACUUUAGUCGAAAGUGCCAUUGUUCAAAGACCAAUCCACCACAACGAGCCUGCGAGCUCAGAUAAACACAAUUUCACUCUAGUCACUGCGAUUAGCACACCGCUAAUCGCUUCAUUUCCUAUGUCGCUAUUGCCGGUAAACAAAAGGUCAUAAUUUAGUGGAAUUAGACUUCCAGAAACGAAUCCACUUGAACCUCUUUUGUUCUUAAGAACCCACAGAAUACUGAUAAUGUGUUUUUAAUCCCUCACCAAGUCUAUUAAAUUGUUUGGGUAUUUAAAAACGUUCAAGCUUUCAUAAAUCGGCACAAUUGCACAAAAUACCGUUUUUUGGGAGGGGGAAAUGAAGUACAACUUUCAGGAUUAUAAGAGAAACACGUUGCAAUCACGUUUGUUGUUUGGGGAACCACAUUAGAACUCGUGAAACAAAAGUUUGACAGACCAAAAUCUGAGAGAGUGAUAUACCACAAAGACUGUGAUCCUUUUAUACUUUUCCUCUCAUGUAAAAGCUCUUUUAACGUUCGAGUCUUUGCUUAGAUGCAGCACUUACUGAAUUCACGCGGGACUCUAGUUCAGAAAACAAAGAGCAUCCUGAAUUGUAGAACACAGUGGCAUCAUGGGAAUAUUCCAGGACAUGUUCUCGACAUAACUAGGUUGAGGACUAGAGUUUACAUUGAUUCUAGAGCUCCUGCGGAGCAGAGACACACUUAAUAAUAAAGGCCCGGUCUCAAAUGUUGCUCUUAGUCAUCUGAGGAGUGAGGAGUGAAGACUUAACACUUUGGUGAUGUAAUCCAGCAAAGACUGUUGGGUUGAAACCCACUGUGAAGUUCACUUCAGUGCUUUGCAAAAAAAGUGUGCACUUUGUGGCUAAAAAACUCCCUAUUAAAAUGUAAAAUGAUGAAUGAGACACCCUACGGUCUUGUGUGCUUCAUGAACACAUGCAAACAGGAACACAAAGCA
Molecule: long non-coding RNA, 1698 nt
Organism: Carassius auratus (goldfish)
Lineage: Eukaryota; Metazoa; Chordata; Actinopteri; Cypriniformes; Cyprinidae
Exons: 3
Source: RefSeq, a predicted model, not a curated record